This 356-nucleotide unclassified non-coding RNA is filed under the name fungal sp. RNAcentral describes it as "partial internal transcribed spacer region". The stretch from base 1 to 46 matches the Rfam family "Eukaryotic small subunit ribosomal RNA", at positions 1786 to 1831 of the family's 1831-position model. The record is from RNAcentral. Lineage: Eukaryota; Fungi.
AAGUCGUAACAAGGUUUCCGUAGGUGAACCUGAGGAAGGAUCAUUAACCUACCCAACGUUAAAACAACCCCGUGAACUUUCAGCUUGCUCCCGCCGUGACAGCAGCAAUUCCUGGUAAAUCACCAGCUUUUGAGUCAGGGACCUCUGCCGAUAGUGAUAUUUUAUAGUUACGGUUGAGCGAUUGCAUCUAGUGACCUGACAUCCCAAGUAAUCAGUGUCGAAAGUGUCAUUGAUUGUGUAAGGAUGGCGCAGUCACGAUCGCUGUAACCGGGUCACCGGGCUCUGCCUCUAACUUCGCCGCGCGUGAAAUUCGCACGGACCAAAAACCGAACAACUGUUAAGAUAUCUUGGUUCUC